This 695-nucleotide ribosomal RNA is filed under the name Chaetothyriales sp. RNAcentral describes it as "SSU rRNA". It matches the Rfam family "Eukaryotic small subunit ribosomal RNA", at positions 149 to 854 of the family's 1831-position model. Lineage: Eukaryota; Fungi; Ascomycota; Eurotiomycetes; Chaetothyriales. The record is from RNAcentral.
GUGGUAAUUCUAGAGCUAAUACAUGCUAAAAACCUCGACUUCGGAAGGGGUGUAUUUAUUAGAUAAAAAACCAAUGCCCUUCGGGGCUCCUUGGUGAUUCAUAAUAACUUAACGAAUCGCAUGGCCUUGCGCCGGCGAUGGUUCAUUCAAAUUUCUGCCCUAUCAACUUUCGAUGGUAAGAUAGUGGCUUACCAUGGUCUUAACGGGUAACGGGGAAUUAGGGUUCUAUUCCGGAGAGGGAGCCUGAGAAACGGCUACCACAUCCAAGGAAGGCAGCAGGCGCGCAAAUUACCCAAUCCCAAUACGGGGAGGUAGUGACAAUAAAUACUGAUACAGGGCUCUUUUGGGUCUUGUAAUUGGAAUGAGUACAAUUUAAAUCCCUUAACGAGGAACAAUUGGAGGGCAAGUCUGGUGCCAGCAGCCGCGGUAAUUCCAGCUCCAAUAGCGUAUAUUAAAGUUGUUGCAGUUAAAAAGCUCGUAGUUGAACUUUGGGUCUGGCUGAUCUGUCCUCCUAAUCGAGCGCACGGAUUCGGUCGGACCUUUCCUUCUGGGGAACCCUAUGCCCUUCACUGGGCGUAGUGGGGAACCAGGACUUUUACCUUGAAAAAAUUAGAGUGUUCAAAGCAGGCCUUUGCUCGAAUACAUUAGCAUGGAAUAAUAGAAUAGGACAUCGGUUCUAUUUUGUUGGUUUCUAG